GUGGGGAAUAUUGGACAAUGGGGGGAACCCUGAUCCAGCCAUGCCGCGUGUGUGAAGAAGGCCUUUUGGUUGUAAAGCACUUUAAGCGAGGAGGAGGCUACCGAGAUUAAUACUCUUGGAUAGUGGACGUUACUCGCAGAAUAAGCACCGGCUAACUCUGUGCCAGCAGCCGCGGUAAUACAGAGGGUGCAAGCGUUAAUCGGAUUUACUGGGCGUAAAGCGCGCGUAGGUGGCCAAUUAAGUCAAAUGUGAAAUCCCCGAGCUUAACUUGGGAAUUGCAGUCGAUACUGGUUGGCUAAAGUAUGGGAGAGGAUGGUAGAAUUCCAGGUGUAGCGGUGAAAUGCGUAGAGAUCUGGAGGAAUACCGAUGGCGAAGGCAGCCAUCUGGCCUAAUACUGACACUGAGGUGCGAAAGCAUGGGGAGCAAACAGGAUUAGAAACCCGAGUAGUCC
RNAcentral lists this ribosomal RNA (451 nucleotides) under uncultured bacterium. Its description in RNAcentral is "bacterial SSU rRNA". It matches the Rfam family "Bacterial small subunit ribosomal RNA", at positions 354 to 796 of the family's 1533-position model. The record is from RNAcentral.